GAUAAUUAGUUUAAUAAAAACAAAUGAUUUCGACUCAUUAGAUUAUGUUUAUAACCAUAAUUAUCA
RNAcentral lists this transfer RNA (66 nucleotides) under Pteropus dasymallus (Ryukyu flying fox). RNAcentral describes it as "tRNA-Arg". It matches the Rfam family "tRNA". Rfam says of the family: Transfer RNA (tRNA) molecules are approximately 80 nucleotides in length. Lineage: Eukaryota; Metazoa; Chordata; Mammalia; Chiroptera; Pteropodidae. The record is from RNAcentral.